GGUGGUCAGUGUUCAAACCUUAUAUGAUUCAAUCUUGCCAAAGAUACGGGUGAAGGGUACGAAUUGCAUAUUGUUAAUAUAACUUAGGUAGGAUGAGUUGUACACUGGAUAAUGUUGGGUCCAAAGUCUUAGGAUUAGGAUAUGAGUAGUGGGUACAAGUCGUAACAAAGGGUACAACUCGUGAGGGUCAGUCGUACCCCCGGGG
RNAcentral lists this long non-coding RNA (205 nucleotides) under Capsicum annuum. RNAcentral's name for it is "long non-coding RNA (CANN_LNC019244)". The record is from RNAcentral. Lineage: Eukaryota; Viridiplantae; Streptophyta; Magnoliopsida; Solanales; Solanaceae.